Molecule: long non-coding RNA, 1274 nt
Filed under: Homo sapiens (human)
Lineage: Eukaryota; Metazoa; Chordata; Mammalia; Primates; Hominidae
Description: novel transcript
Source: RNAcentral
GCAGUGAGCUGAGGCAGGAAUCAGAUGGCUUUACCCAUGGAGAUUUUUGUUGCUGGCUAAUUUGCUACAUAUUCUUAGAACUGGUUUGAUUAAGAAAAAAAGCUGUUGGUGUGGUGACUGGAAGUCUAACAACAAUCACCACAAUAGAUAUCUGCAGCCCUGAAACCAAUUUUCAGGCUUGAAUUUCUUUUACUUUUCUUCUUUCUUUCUUAUUGUGUGUCUCCAAGUCCUGAGUCUACUGGGGUUAUGUAGAAAAAAAGUUUUAAACAUUUUUUUGGGAAAUAAUUGCAAAGUUACAGCUAAAUUAUAAGAAAAAAAGAAGAGUUCUACACUUUGGGAGGCCGAGGCGGGUGGAUCAUGAGGUCAGGAGAUCGAGACCAUCCUGGCUAACAAGCUUCCUGCACACUUCCGACAACUUGAUUGAACUGGACGCCCUUGGAAGUUCAUGGCAUCGCCUAUAACAGAGUCUGUGUAGGCAAAACCCCAGCCUAUGCUGGAAUUUAACUCUUAAAAAGCAACCUAAGUAGAACACAAGAUUGUAAACUCUAAGGAGAUUCUAACACCAAAAGAAAGUAUGACUUGAGCCAAUGAAAUGCCAAAAUCCAGUUCUAGCUGACAACGUCAGUAGUGGAGGACAGACUUCCACUUGCCAUUUGAGGAAAAAGCAUGUGGAUUCAUGAGCAUAACAGCAGAUACCCCACUACCAAUUACCAAAUCCUGUGCACAUUCCUGUUCUCCAGUCACCUUUUCUCCAUAAAUGUUUGUGGUAUAAAAUGAAAACCUUCCCAAAUAUUAACCAGUCAACCUUUAUUCUCUGAUUUCUUUCUCUAAACUAGUGAUGCCUUCAUUUUCAGUGUCACUGACUUGCACCUAACAGUUCCCAGCUUAUGUUGUAGGUGCUAUCUCAUCUUAAACUGAUCCUGUUCUCGAGUUUCCAGAGCGAGUACAGCCCUGCCACCUCUGGAGUUCAGCCCAGUGAAAGUGCUUUCAGACUUCUGACCUCCAGAACUGUAAGAGUAUACAUGUAUUUUGUUUCACGCCACCAAGUUUGUGCUAAUUUGUUAUAGCGGCCAUAGGAGACUAAUGCAUACUUAACAGGAACUGUUACUCCAGGGAAAACAUGUGACUGCAGACACAGUGGAGAGCCUAACACACAACUGUUAACCCUGUUCUGGGGAGCUGAAGCUUUGGUUUUAAGGGAUUUCUGAAACCAGUACAAUGACUGUCACUUUUCCCAAUGUUCAUCCGGGGAAUAAAUGCCUAGACACCUGGCA